Schistosoma rodhaini is the source of this 45-nucleotide non-coding RNA. Lineage: Eukaryota; Metazoa; Platyhelminthes; Trematoda; Strigeidida; Schistosomatidae. The record is from Rfam.
AUCCAGCUGAUGAGUUCGGAAUAGGACGAGACGCGCGUCCUGGAU